Leptonychotes weddellii (Weddell seal) is the source of this 2882-nucleotide non-coding RNA. The record is from RefSeq and is a predicted model, not a curated record. Lineage: Eukaryota; Metazoa; Chordata; Mammalia; Carnivora; Phocidae.
GACUUUUAAUUUUCAGACAGGAGGCUUGGAAUUGGUCCACAAGGCAAUGAGGAGCCAUUGGAGGGAGGAGUGAAAUGAUGAAAGAGGUGUUUUGAGAAGGUUAAUCUGGCAACAGUGUCCGGGAGGGAAGGGAGUAGGAGACGUAUGGCAGGCGGGGAUGUCAGUUAAGGAGGCUGCCACAGUAGUCCAGGCUCGAGAUGAUAAAGACCUGAACUGGGGUCAUGGCAGUGUGCCACGUUAACUUGAAAAAUGACACUAAGGCCAAAAAAUAUUGUCUUAUAUUUUCAAGUUUUAUAUGCUAACCCACUGAAAUGAACAAUUCUAUGCAAGCUCUGAUAUACGCCACCGUGAAAGACAUUUUGGAUGCAAAAAAUGGAGGAAGACUGGUAAAGCCUGCGGGAAGCCUAGGCCAUGACCCUGAGUCCAGCCAGUCAAGGUCUCUUUCAGGAUCUCCUUCUGAGGAACAUACAUACCUCCGUCCAGUCAGAGAGGAGCCACUCGCUGGGACAGUCAUCUUUCUUGCAGGCUUGCUGGGAGGCCAGUUUCAAGGCUGAACAGAAGGUCUCAGGAAGCUCCAGGAAGCUGCCGUCAGCCAUGCGCUGUUUGCAAAGAACUUCACGCUUCUGGAUGCCCCCUCCGCAGGUCCUGGAACACUGGGGAAGGAAGAGAAAGUCAUUUUAACCUAGGACAGUGGUAUGUUUGCCUGCCAAUCCUUAUCUUAGUCUUGGCUGAGUAAAGAGUGGAAAAAACAACAGAAGAAGAAGAAAAACCAAGAACCGGCCCAAAGGAUUUUGCUCCCUUUCCCUGAAAUGAAUUUUGCAGCAAGAUCUACACCCUCCAAUCUUAAUUUCAAGUAUUUAACUAGAGCAUCCAGGAAUUUCAAGGGCCUUUAAAUCAUAGAAAGUUGUUCCUCAACUACGAUUUGCAGCCCCCCAAGACAACUGGUUUAAAAGGAAGAAGAGUGUACACAUGAAGUCAGUGGUAGCCCAGUGUUCAAAGGGCAAGGAGAAGGAGUUACUCCCCUCAAAAGCCAAUGUUCAUCACGUUACUAUGUCGUCUUUCAAUGAAGCAUUUGACACCGCAUCUGCUUUUCUUUCAUCUGAAGAAAGACUUAAGGGUACCAGGCAGGGGGGCAGUUGAAGCGGUUACAAGCUUGCACCGUGCUGGGCUUGGGCUGACGGCACAGUUCAUCGGCCAGGAUUAUGGUUUCAUUCAUCUCUCUGGAAAGGAGGUGGGAGCAGAAGACAUCUCUGGUCUGCAGGCCAACCCCACAGGUGACAUGACGGGAUGGUAGAUUCGAUCCCAGAUUCAUGCAAUGACUAAAUCUACGCACGCAAAACAGUUUCUAAUACCAUCAAAGCUCAUUUCACGGAAGUUGGAGGUUGACAGGUGAUGUGUAACCAUGGAAAGGGCUCUCUUCAUAAAUGGAGAUUGAAGCCCUGAGGCGAACAGCCAUGUGACGUUUAUCCUUGUUGAUGUCAAAAUGCUGCUGGGAAUGAUUCUGAUCACUGGGCCAACACAUUCCUGGGAAGAGAAGUAACCGAGGCUGCCAUUGGGCCAAUCAGGUCCAAUAGUUAAGAAACAGGUCUUGGCAGGUUCCUCCGUUGUAACUUGUCCAACAGUGGAAGAAAAGAGAGAGAUGGUGUAAUUAUGCAUCUGGAGUUACCAAGGAGGAUGACGACAGUAAUAGCAUUAACUCUCCAAAGGUGCCUGAAUAUGGCCUCCAAAUCUGGACUCAAUUUCUGUGGAGCUUUGGUGUGCUUUUGCUUUAAGUGCUUACAAGUUGGUAUGGACAGAGCCAAAAGGCAGCAUAUGGAAACUUUGGGAACACAGCAGAAGAUAAACCAAUAUUUGGAGAGCAUGUUGAAACAGUAACCCUUAAAACAAGCUGUCAAAGGGGAAGGUGCCUGCAAAACUUUGAAAGCUCCAUCAAAUAAAUUAAAGCAUGGUUGUGUAAAAAGGCAAUACCUUCUGCUCUAGCCAUUUUCGGCCAAUAUAAAAGAAAAUUAGAAAUUGGAAAUCAUUUGCGGCUAGUACGCAUGGAUUUUGUUAGUGUAUAAUAAAAUAGGCAUUCUGAAGUUUGCUUUUAAAGAGGAGGCUCUGUGACCUUUAAGACGUUUUUCUUAACUCUCUCGUCUCAAACAGGGAUUCUCAAACUUCUUUUACAGUUCUUGUUGGUUUGAGGAGCCACCCUAGGUCUGAGAAAAGAGACUGGGGUUGGGGCGAGGGGCAGAAACCAAGUCCUGUUCCUGGAAUUAUGGGCUUUCCCCCCCUUUACUGUUUAUCUAUUCUGUACCACUCAGCUGUUCUCUGUUGCACAGAAAUAAAAGUUUAGUUUAAAAAGUAUGUUAGAACAAAGCUGCAGAAAUUGCCUGGAAUUUCCUUCAUUUUCAGCCAUCUGGCUUUCAUUGCUUACUUCUUUCCCCUCCUCCACAUACGUUUACCAAAUCUUUUCAACACACACUGGCCAAGCUAUCAAAUGCUUAUAAUUAAUAACAGUCAUGCUCUUUUUUUUUUUUUUUAAAAGGUAGUGCUUUCUGGCUUUCCUUGGGCUGUUCAUGUCAUUGCUAGUAUAAACCAGGGAGAUGGUCAGUAAAACUUAAUUAUUAAGACUUAGUUGAAUAAGUGAGAAAAUCUAAUCAAAUUUAAGUCCUGAAUACAAAAAAAUGAUGUUUUAUUUCAAACUAAAAGUAUUUCUUGCCAAGAAAUGAAAGAGAAGAAAAAGAGAAUUUUUCUGAGUUCCCACUAUGAUCCUAUUUUAGAGAUGAAGAAUCUGAGGAUCCAAAAAGGUAUAUAAGCUCUUACAAGUCAUGUAGCUAAACCUAACAGAGCAGUAUCUGAACACAGGUUGGAAUCUAUCUGCUGGUUUUUAUUUUGGUGGU